ACAUUACAACUUGGAUAAUAACAUUGUGGUUUUCUAGGCCAAUAUGUGGCCAGCAUUUCUAUACGAGUCUGACACAGGUAUCCCCUGUGUAGAAAGGAACUCUUUUUGGUCCAGACCCCAGCUGUAUGGCCUUGUGCACUGAGUUUGGAAGAGUUUCCACUCAGGACAGAUUUUCUCAUCUGGAGGAAAGGAGUAACACCUACUCGGGGCCCCACAUCCUAAACCCCUGUAGUUUGUGAAGCUCGGUUGAAUCUGCAAAGCUUUCGCAUGGGGUUGUAAUCGCUCACACAGCACCGGAUGUUUUGAGACUUGAACACGUGGCACAGCGGAAGGGAAAGGCCUUUGCUUCUGCAUUUGGGACAAGGUUGGGUCACCUCUGACUCUUCUCCAGGCUCAGCCAGUUUCAAACAGGGGGUGUGCCACAGGCCUUGGAGCAGGCCCAGACGGCCUAAGGCAGAGGCUUUUCUGCUCCCCCUCCCCUUCCCCGGGGGUGGGAGGAGCCUCCUCUGAUUGGCUGCCAGCCCGAGGCAGCCGCUGGCUCUUUCCUGCUGCAUCCAGAGGAUGGGAAUCACACGCGGAGCACUCGGCCUGCCCUGAGUUGGGAGGGUCCAUACUCCCCCUCCUGGCUCUGACAAAGAGGCCGGGAGAACCUCUGGUCUGUUUCACUUCUCCGUUUCAGGGACCUCAGAGGCACGUAGCUGCCAGCCAGCCAUCAGGGAAGCACCAGAUGUUUCCUAGGGACCCAGACCAGAACCCGUCUACCUUGCAGUUAGAACCCAGAAACUUGGUCUACUGGAAAAAAACAACUGUGCCAGAAUGCCCUGAAAUCCAGUGGAAAGAAGCCUAGCAAGGCCUCCUUACUAACUCCUCCACCAAAAAGAUAAAGGGAGUGACAGCCCCAACCCACAAGCUGACAGCUCAACCUACUACUAGUCAUUUCAAAUUCCACCUGACCCAGAAAAAAAAGCAGACAACAUGAGGAGUAGACCACUUCCCCAAGAUGCUGGGCAUGGGCUGAGUCUCUCUGGUCCAAGGAUCAGCAGCUCAUAGAACUCCCUGACUACGCCUUUGGUCAGCAUUGAUAGAACUCAUCUUGACCAAAAGGGGAAGAAUGUUAAAAGAAGUUAUGAGAAGGGCCUUCUUUGACCUCACUGACCUCAUGAUUGGAACAGGUCUUGUGAUAUCUCUGGAAAUUUACUGUACCUGGAUGGAUCUGAUCAGAUCCACAUCUGAAGUUCCUUGAUUUGAUCAGAUGUUGAUCAUGCCUUCCUUUUGCUGUCCCUCCCAAGCAUUCUUCCCUGUUGAAAUAUAUUUAAACUCUACCCCUCUACUCCCUUCUGCCCCACUUCCAGCACUCCUGCAUUCUGGUAUUGUGUACUGACCUUGAAUUGAAAUUCCUUUGACUCAGUUAAAGACUCUUAUUGUUGCUACUUUGGUAAUCCACUUUAUUUCAGAUUGAUACUAGCCAAGGGUCAAACUAUGAUGCUGGGAAAAAAAUGUGCAAUCCUAUAGUUCACAUGAACUGGUGACUGAACCCAUGAGUCCCAGGAUGAGCCAAAAAUUGGGACCCUGAUCAUUAAAUUCAACUUCUAGAUGGAAGAUGUCUGAACUUGGAUGGUACUUCUGUCAAAUAUUUUGCAACCACUGAAGCCUACUGCUCCAAAUAUGAAAAUGCAUACUCUUCAAGGGAAGAAAAAGAAUUUUCCUUGAAGCCUGUCUGCCAGUCAGAGGAGCAAGGCUCUACAAUCACUAGAGUCCAAAGUAAGGCUGUAUAAUAAAGGGUGAUGAGGAGGAGGGCA
This 1799-nucleotide long non-coding RNA is filed under the name Monodelphis domestica (gray short-tailed opossum). Its description in RNAcentral is "lncRNA (ENSMODG00000051524.1)". Lineage: Eukaryota; Metazoa; Chordata; Mammalia; Didelphimorphia; Didelphidae. The record is from RNAcentral.